This 443-nucleotide ribosomal RNA is filed under the name uncultured bacterium. Its description in RNAcentral is "partial 16S ribosomal RNA". It matches the Rfam family "Bacterial small subunit ribosomal RNA", at positions 338 to 795 of the family's 1533-position model. The record is from RNAcentral.
CCUACGGGGGGCAGCAGUGGGGAAUAUUGGGCAAUGGGCGCAAGCCUGACCCAGCAACGCCGCGUGACGGAAGAAGGCUUUCGGGUUUGAAACUUCUUUUCUCAGGGGCGACGAAAGUGACGGUACCUGAGGAAUAAGCCACGGCUAACUACGUGCCAGCCGCCGCGGGACUACGUCGGUGGCACGCGUUAUCCGGAUUUACUGGGUGGAAAGGGCGAGUAGGCGGGACUGCAAGUCAGAUGUGAACAGCACGGGCUCAACCUGUGGCCUGCAUUUGAAACUGUAGUUCUUGAGUACUGGAGAGGCAUACGGAAUUCCUAGUGUAGCGGUGAAAUGCGUAGAUAUUAGGAGGAACACCAGUGGCGAAGGCGGUCUGCUGGACAGCAACUGACGCUGAGGCGCGAAAGCGUGGGGAGCAAACAGGAUUAGAUACCCUAGUAGUC